RNAcentral lists this small RNA (1191 nucleotides) under Histoplasma capsulatum. Its description in RNAcentral is "hypothetical RNA". The record is from RNAcentral. Lineage: Eukaryota; Fungi; Ascomycota; Eurotiomycetes; Onygenales; Ajellomycetaceae.
CACGCCUUUCUAUAGUAUUUGAUUCUGUGCUAGGUUUUGCUCUGUCCAGCUGCACAGGUUGUCCAACACCACUUAAUCAAGCCAUGCUGUAUACAACCGCAGUUUGCGCGCUUCCGGAUUCAUCCACUGAAUGUGAUGUUGUGACCCGAACGGUGUAGCGCCGUCAGUGGUGUUAUGUCCUCCUUACUUGCAUGACUGGAGAAAAGAUGUUCGUCUCCUAGAUCACCAUUUUGCUGCGAGUGUAGCUACAAAAUCAUACUAGUAUGUACCACGGGCCAGGUUCCUGCAGUGACAUAUCAGGGUGAUUCUGAUUCAUUCGUUUAUUAUUUUUAUCUUUUAAUCUUUUUUCUUUCUUUAAGAGAACGACUCCUUUACCUGACCCAACAGCUGAUGACACUGACUGCUCUCAAACGGACUGUAUCCCUCAAAUAUUACAGCUAAGAAAAAGAAAAGGGAAAAGGAAGGCAAGGAAAUUGAAAAAAAAAAAAAAAACCACUGAACUAGUGAGAGAUAGAAAAAAAGGGAGAGGGGAGGAGAGGAUAGUAAACAAGCAGAUAAACGGAUCCAGAAAUCCACCCAAGCAGAGUGCAGGUAUCUUGCCCCAACAAAAGAAUUCAAGGUUAUUCUAAACUUUCCAAUCUGUCCCUAGCCAUCAUGCAUCUGACAAAAACGCCCGGUAUCCAAUUCAUGCUUCCUGCUUAUUGAUUCUUUCACUUCUUCUUCUAGUAUUAGCUGCGUCCACCCCAAGAGUAUUGCUCUUCAUAGUUUUCUUUGUGCACCCUUCUGUUGUCGUUUCAACGCAUGUCGGUAAUUGAACCGUUUUGCUUGGACACUUCUUUUUCUUCGUCCACCCAUGACCAUACCUUCUAUUUCUCUUUUUCCGGGGUCCUUCCAUCUUCCCUAAGCUUAUUGCGCCUGAAAGACCCGCGUUUGGUAGAUCUGGAGGGUUUUUGUUGGGGCAGGAGAGCAUGGUGUCCACCUUUGGGUGCACAGGAGUAGUAGCUGUUUCGGUUGGCGAUGGGUUGUGUUUAUCCUUCCCACUAACUGUAACUGUGCUUUCGCCCUUUACCUCCGUCAUAUCUAGUUCUGGUACAGGUGAUACUAAGCUUUGUGCUGCAUGUAGAGAGACCCCUUUGGCGCAUGUUCCCUCUGCAUUAGUAGCCUGAGAGCAAAACGUAGUUGUUGCAACCC